CGAAACACACGGAGGAAAUGGCAGCAGCGAGGGAUAAGGGGAGGCAAAGGAGGUAGAAGAAUGAUCUGAUGUGGAGGAGAUAAACGGCGUUGUCACGAGAUUCAUGCGAAACGUGACGCGCUUCCAUGAGAGUGGAAGUGAAACGCGCGAGGGCUUCGAGAUGGUAGAUAUGGUUACGAAGGGUGUGUGUGGAGAUAGAGAGAUUGAAGAGAAGAAAAAAGAGUGGGAGUGUUGUGAAAGAAGCGAUGAAAAAGAAUACGAGUUUGUUGAUGUGAAUUAUUCUCAGUGGUUCCAACAAAACCCAAACCCAACCUUCCUUUCCUUUUACUAUCAACAUUUUUUUAGUGUGAGAGAUAAAGCUCUUGCUAAGCACUCAAUAUGUUAUUG
This 387-nucleotide long non-coding RNA is filed under the name Cicer arietinum (chickpea). RNAcentral describes it as "long non-coding RNA (CARI_LNC001091)". Lineage: Eukaryota; Viridiplantae; Streptophyta; Magnoliopsida; Fabales; Fabaceae. The record is from RNAcentral.